Molecule: long non-coding RNA, 728 nt
Organism: Gossypium raimondii (Peruvian cotton)
Lineage: Eukaryota; Viridiplantae; Streptophyta; Magnoliopsida; Malvales; Malvaceae
Exons: 2
Source: RefSeq, a predicted model, not a curated record
CCUCUUCUCUCCGUUCUCUCCCAAUAUUCUUUCUCGGGAUUGGUGGCCAAAGAGAAACUGACUCGUUUCCCCUAUAAAUAAACCCUUCUUUCCUUCAUUACCUACACGACCCUAUGAAAUGAAAACUCACCCUUUUUCCCAUUUCUUUCUCUCUCUUUUUGUCCUUUUGGAUUUUGCAGCCAUGGCUGCCUAUGAAGCUUUAGGGUUUUCCCUUUCUUUUCCUCUUUUGCAGAAAAAGUCAGCACAAGGUUGGCAAUUUGUCAUUCUUGGGCGCACUUCCCACAUCGGAUAAAAGGGCAGGCCCCUGCUUUGUUUCAGUUUCACUUGCUGUCCUAAUGCUCCAAUGGUUGGAACAAAGAGUUAUGCCUUAAAAGCGACGUGACUGAAUUUUUUUUUCCCCACGACACAUGGGGGCGCCAUUAUUGCUUUGCCUUGCCAUUUCCCUUUCAGUUUGUUCACAGGCGCCAGUUGUAUGGAAUAUUAAUUGUUUAGUUACUGGUGUUUGUUCAACCGAGAAUGGUAACAAGUUUGAUGCCUCUUUAGAAGAAAGAUUACGAUUUUGAAUGUGAUAUUUAAGUAAAACUUUUUCAAAUAGAGACUUAGUUAGGAGUAAGUAGGAUGUAGAAAUUUAGGGUUGAGUAAAUCGAGAAAUUAAAAAUUGGUCCAAAAUAAAGUGUUUGAUCGGUUUAUAAAGCACAAAUUAAAAGAUCAUCGUUAUCUUAGUUGAA